Molecule: long non-coding RNA, 241 nt
Filed under: Lathyrus oleraceus (garden pea)
Lineage: Eukaryota; Viridiplantae; Streptophyta; Magnoliopsida; Fabales; Fabaceae
Description: Pisum sativum (pea) long non-coding RNA (PSAT_LNC004341)
Source: RNAcentral
AACAAUCAAAGUUACAGUGGAUUGUCUAACAACUCACUCCUUUUGGCUUUUGUUUUUGUCACACAAAAUAAAGAAUGUUGAAUUUUGGGAACAUUUAUAUUCACUUGUUAGUUAUCUUACCUCAAACCAUCAAACAACAAAUGUUAUGAAUUAGUCUGAUGAUUAGAAAUGAAUUAGUCAGAUUUAAAUUAAAAAUCUGGGGAAUUGAAGAUAAAAGAUGUCAGAGACUAUGCAAGUUUUU